This 216-nucleotide ribosomal RNA is filed under the name Glomeromycotina sp. RNAcentral's name for it is "partial small subunit ribosomal RNA". The stretch from base 75 to 216 matches the Rfam family "Eukaryotic small subunit ribosomal RNA", at positions 721 to 864 of the family's 1831-position model. Lineage: Eukaryota; Fungi; Glomeromycota. The record is from RNAcentral.
GGGUCAGUAGGUUGGUCGUGCCACCGGUACGUACUGGUCUCACUGAUUCCUCCUUCCUGAGGAACCGUAAUGCCAUUAAUUUGGUGUUGCGGGGAAACAGGACUGUUACUUUGAAAAAAUUAGAGUGUUUAAAGCAAGCCAACGCUUGAAUACAUUAGCAUGGAAUAAUGAAAUAGGACGAUCGAUCCUAUUUUGUUGGUUUCUAGGAUUGACGUA